Lotus japonicus is the source of this 369-nucleotide long non-coding RNA. RefSeq lists it as uncharacterized. The record is from RefSeq and is a predicted model, not a curated record. Lineage: Eukaryota; Viridiplantae; Streptophyta; Magnoliopsida; Fabales; Fabaceae. The transcript has 2 exons.
AGCAGAACAGAGAAACACGUGAAAGGUGAAGAAGAGGAGAAAAGGUGGAGAAAACCUAGAAUUUGAUCUUCAAGAAGAAAAGAGUCUAGGAGGCUUUGUACCGGUGUCAUAGAAGGUACUGGAGGUAGAGAUGUGGCUCAUGAGGAGUAGCUUCGGAGAGUCUUAGCUUAUGUUAUUAUUAUUAAUAUUAUUAUAAAAUAAGUGUCUUGCUCUGUAAUGUAACACUGGGUAGAUAUUUUACGUUACUUUUACACUUCUGUUGAGGGGAUUUUAUAACCUCUCCUUAGGGAAGUUGUUGAAUAAUUUUCUAAAUUAUGGCGAUGUCGUACUGUUGAUGGCCGAAGUGCCUAUGAAAUUCAGCUUUGAGUA